Mauremys reevesii (Reeves's turtle) is the source of this 463-nucleotide long non-coding RNA. RefSeq lists it as uncharacterized. The record is from RefSeq and is a predicted model, not a curated record. The transcript is spliced from 3 exons. Lineage: Eukaryota; Metazoa; Chordata; Testudines; Geoemydidae.
UUGUGCACCCUCUACUGCACUUCAGUGGGAGCUGAGAAUACUCAGCACUGCGCAGGAACAGACGCUCAUUGACCUGCUUGUCUUCACCUAAAGCCUUGAUCCUAACUGAUUUUAGCAGGAAGAUGGAGGACACUUGGCACGCCCAAUAAUUAGUGUUUCCAAAGAUCAUGGCAAAGGUCAGAGCAAGGGUCAUCUGAUUUCUUUCAAAUGCUUGCCUCCCAUGGAAAAUUAGGGGAUUUGCAUUUCUGUGACUGGUUGUAAUUGGAAGUGAAGACACUUGGUGUGCUACAAGCAAAUGAGGCUGAAGGACUCAAGCCCAGGAAGACAUCUGGACAGAAUGCCACACAGAUUUGAAUCCAACAGGAUCUGGAAAGGGCUGUUUUGGGGAUCAGAGCACAGAGCUGGGAGUUGGGAUCUGGCUUCUAUUUUCCACCCUGGCACCAACUCACUGCAUGACCUCAGG